RNAcentral lists this ribosomal RNA (400 nucleotides) under uncultured bacterium. Its description in RNAcentral is "bacterial SSU rRNA". It matches the Rfam family "Bacterial small subunit ribosomal RNA", at positions 338 to 752 of the family's 1533-position model. The record is from RNAcentral.
CCUACGGGGGGCAGCAGUGGGGAAUAUUGGGCAAUGGGCGAAAGCCUGACCCAGCGACGCCGCGUGAGGGAAGAAGGUCUUCGGAUUGUAAACCUCUUUCAGCAGGGAAGAAGAAAGUGACGGUACCUGCAGAAGAAGUCACGGCUAACUACGUGCCAGCAGCCGCGGUAAUACGUAGGUGGCGAGCGUUAUCCGGAAUUACUGGGUGUAAAGGGUGUGUAGGCGGGAGUGCAAGUCAGACGUGAAAACUAUGGGCUCAACCCAUAACGUGCGUUUGAAACUGUGCUUCUUGAGAGUGGGAGAGGUAAACGGAAUUCCUGGUGUAGUAGUGAAAUGCGUAGAUAUCAGGAGGAACACCGGUGGCGAAGGCGGUUUACUGGACCACAACUGACGCUGAGAC